This 546-nucleotide ribosomal RNA is filed under the name uncultured bacterium. Its description in RNAcentral is "bacterial SSU rRNA". It matches the Rfam family "Bacterial small subunit ribosomal RNA", at positions 353 to 890 of the family's 1533-position model. The record is from RNAcentral.
AGUAGGGAAUAUUGGUCAAUGGGCGCAAGCCUGAACCAGCCAUGCCGCGUGAGUGACGAAGGCCUUCGGGUCGUAAAACUCUUUUCUGAGGGAAGAACAACCGGGACAGGAAAUGGUCUCGGCCUGACGGUACCUCAGGAAUAAGCAACGGCUAACUCCGUGCCAGCAGCCGCGGUAAUACGGAGGUUGCGAGCGUUGUUCGGAAUAACUGGGCGUAAAGGGAGCGCAGGCGGUCUGGUAAGUCUAAAGUGAAAGCCCGGGGCUUAACCUCGGAAGUGCUUUGGAUACUGUCAGACUCGAGUUCGUAAGAGGAAAGCGGAAUUCCAGGUGUAGCGGUGAAAUGCGUAGAUAUCUGGAGGAACACCGGUGGCGAAAGCGGCUUUCUGGUACGAUACUGACGCUGAGGCUCGAAAGCAUGGGGAGCGAACAGGAUUAGAUACCCUGGUAGUCCAUGCCGUAAACGUUGUGCACUAGGUGUGGGAGGUAUCGACCCCUUCCGUGCCGCAGCUAACGCAUUAAGUGCACCGCCUGGGGAGUACGGUCGCA